This 720-nucleotide ribosomal RNA is filed under the name Pseudomonas sp. 45AGIII. RNAcentral's name for it is "bacterial SSU rRNA". It matches the Rfam family "Bacterial small subunit ribosomal RNA", at positions 64 to 779 of the family's 1533-position model. The record is from RNAcentral. RNAcentral also lists the same sequence under 1 other name. Lineage: Bacteria; Pseudomonadati; Pseudomonadota; Gammaproteobacteria; Pseudomonadales; Pseudomonadaceae.
GAGCGGUAGAGAGAAGCUUGCUUCUCUUGAGAGCGGCGGACGGGUGAGUAAUACCUAGGAAUCUGCCUGAUAGUGGGGGAUAACGUUCGGAAACGGACGCUAAUACCGCAUACGUCCUACGGGAGAAAGCAGGGGACCUUCGGGCCUUGCGCUAUCAGAUGAGCCUAGGUCGGAUUAGCUAGUUGGUGAGGUAAUGGCUCACCAAGGCUACGAUCCGUAACUGGUCUGAGAGGAUGAUCAGUCACACUGGAACUGAGACACGGUCCAGACUCCUACGGGAGGCAGCAGUGGGGAAUAUUGGACAAUGGGCGAAAGCCUGAUCCAGCCAUGCCGCGUGUGUGAAGAAGGUCUUCGGAUUGUAAAGCACUUUAAGUUGGGAGGAAGGGCAUUAACCUAAUACGUUAGUGUUUUGACGUUACCGACAGAAUAAGCACCGGCUAACUCUGUGCCAGCAGCCGCGGUAAUACAGAGGGUGCAAGCGUUAAUCGGAAUUACUGGGCGUAAAGCGCGCGUAGGUGGUUUGUUAAGUUGAAUGUGAAAUCCCCGGGCUCAACCUGGGAACUGCAUCCAAAACUGGCAAGCUAGAGUAUGGUAGAGGGUAGUGGAAUUUCCUGUGUAGCGGUGAAAUGCGUAGAUAUAGGAAGGAACACCAGUGGCGAAGGCGACUACCUGGACUGAUACUGACACUGAGGUGCGAAAGCGUGGGGAGCAAACAGGAUU